Molecule: non-coding RNA, 76 nt
Organism: Phthorimaea operculella (potato tuberworm)
Lineage: Eukaryota; Metazoa; Arthropoda; Insecta; Lepidoptera; Gelechiidae
Source: the annotation of a GenBank genome assembly
GCCCCGGUAGCCCAGUUGGUAGAGGCAUCGGCAGUACAGAUUCCGAAAGUUGCAGGUUCAAAUUCUGCCUGCGGUG